RNAcentral lists this ribosomal RNA (390 nucleotides) under uncultured bacterium. RNAcentral describes it as "bacterial SSU rRNA". It matches the Rfam family "Bacterial small subunit ribosomal RNA", at positions 28 to 407 of the family's 1533-position model. The record is from RNAcentral.
GACGAACGCUGGCGGCGUGCUUAACACAUGCAAGUCGAGCGGUAAGGCCCUUUCGGGGUACGACGAGCGGCGAACGGGUAGGAGUAACACGUGGGUGGACCUCGCCCUCCAGCUCUGGGAGUAAGACCUCGGGAAACCGGGGUACGUAAUAACUGGAUAUGACUCCAUGACGCAUGUUGUGGGGUGGAAAGCCUUGUGCGGCUGAGGAUGGGCCCGCGGCCUAUCAGCUUGUUGGUGGGGUGANGGCCUACCAAGGCGACGACGGGUAGCCGGCCUGAGAGGGCGACCGGCCACACUGGGACUGAGACACGGCCCAGACUCCUACGGGAGGCAGCAGUGGGGAAUCUUGCGCAAUGGGCGAAAGCCUGACGCAGCGACGCCGCGUGAGGA